RNAcentral lists this transfer RNA (70 nucleotides) under Cirrhinus molitorella (mud carp). RNAcentral's name for it is "tRNA-Arg". It matches the Rfam family "tRNA". Rfam says of the family: Transfer RNA (tRNA) molecules are approximately 80 nucleotides in length. Lineage: Eukaryota; Metazoa; Chordata; Actinopteri; Cypriniformes; Cyprinidae. The record is from RNAcentral.
AGGGAGUUAGUCCAAUACAAGACCUCUGAUUUCGGCUCAGAAAAUUAUGGUUCAACUCCAUGACCCCCUU